CAAAAAUGAUAAAGAAUGAAUUCAUUUUCUUUUCAUUUUAAAUCUUUUGGGCUUGGCUUACUUCUUGAGUAAAAUUAAAAUAAUUCCGUAUUUGUCUCCGGGCCGGUUUUGUCUUUUAUCGGAUGAAAAUGUACGUCAUUUUUGACGUCACUGCUGCAGCAGACGUGCUGGGUGUAUUGGAAAGGUUCAAUAUACAGUCAGCGUCUCAUAAGAAUAAAUCCCAAGAUCCAAGACUUGCUUAAAAGCUUAAUUAAGAGACCAUUCUGUGCCACAAAGAAAUUGUUCAGGAAAGGGAGAAAUGGUGGAUUUGCAUUUUGGGUACAGUUCAAAGAGAGUUCAAAAUGGUCAAGCUCAUGGAAGAUCAGAGGAAGGACAACUGAAGAAAACUGAAAGAUACAGAAGGAAAAAGAACAAGAAAAUAUAUGAAAUAAUUAUGAAAUUGGGAGGAUGUACACAAUCUUGUCUGCAUUUGACCUGUAAAUAUUUAAUUCCCAUUCUUAUUUGUAUGCUGUAAUAUCAAAUAACUUGAUUUUUCAUAAAUUUACAAUAGAGAAUACAUGACAAAUGUUAUAUGUGAUAUUUCAAUUUUGCUUUGGACACUUUCAUGUCAAAUCAUAUAAAUUAUAAAAAAAGUACA
This is a long non-coding RNA of Saccostrea cuccullata (small rock oyster), 637 nucleotides long. RefSeq lists it as uncharacterized. Lineage: Eukaryota; Metazoa; Mollusca; Bivalvia; Ostreida; Ostreidae. The record is from RefSeq and is a predicted model, not a curated record. The transcript has 3 exons.